RNAcentral lists this ribosomal RNA (468 nucleotides) under uncultured marine Syndiniales. RNAcentral's name for it is "SSU rRNA". It matches the Rfam family "Eukaryotic small subunit ribosomal RNA", at positions 627 to 1101 of the family's 1831-position model. Lineage: Eukaryota; Dinophyceae; Syndiniales. The record is from RNAcentral.
CUCGUAGUUGGAUUCUGUGGAGGAGGCCGGUCCGCAUUUUGUGCGUGUAUCUGGUACGGCCUUUGCAUCCUCUUGUGGAACGCCACGGUGCUUCGUUGCAUUGUGCGGAAUGCAAGACUUUUACUUUGAGGAAAUUAGAGUGUUCACGGCAGGCAUGCGCCUUGAAUAUAUUAGCAUGGAAUAAUAAUAUAGGCUCCUCGCCCUAUUUUGUUGGUUUCUAGAGCGAAGAGAAUGGUUAAUAGGGAUAAUUGGGGGCACUCGUACUACGGUGUCAGAGGUGGAAUUCUUAGAUUACCGUAUGACGAACUACUGCGAAAGCAUUUGCCAAGGAUGUUUUCAUUGAUCAAGAACGAAAGUUUGGGGAUCGAAGAUGAUUAGAUACCAUCGUAGUCCAAACCAUAAACUAUGCCAACUAGGGAUUGGAGGGCGUUCUUAUAUCGACUCCUUCAGCACCUUAUGAGAAAUCAA